UUGACCUGCAAUGGACUAAUGAAACAAUAUUUCUACUCCUAUUCAGUAUUUAGUCAUUAUUAGUUUCCCAAUCAUGAGAAUUCUGGCUAAAUUUAGACUGUUCAACUCAAUUAGCAACACUGAAAUUCAGUUCUUCAAACUGUCAACAUUUACAGGGAGAAGAAAUCAAUCAAAACCUAAAAAAAUCCAGAAAACUCGGCUAAAGAAACAUACUUUACCUGUGAAAGAUGAUAAAGAUUCACUUUUUAAUGAGAUUACUGAGAUAUUAGGGACUGAAAAUCUUACCGAUGCUAAAACCCCGUUUGGGUUUUCAUUCCCUGAAACAAGGUCUUCAGUUUUUGCUGGAAAGAGACAUUGCACUCAAGGUGUUUGUGAAAAUGCCCAGGAGAAGUUUGAGAGUAAAAGUGAAGAGGUUUUUGUUAAGAAAGUUGCAGAGUUUAGAAUAUUAAAUGGAAAUGAUGAUUCCAGUGAGGUUGUGCACAGGAUAGCAGGGAUUGUUAGGGAAAUGAAUGCUACGAUUUCGAUGGAGGAACGGUUGGAUGGCUCAUUUGGUGAAUUAAGUUCUGAUAUUGUCAUGAAAGUGUUAAAGAGGUGCUUUAAAGUGCCACAUUUGGCUAACAGAUUUUUUAGUUGGGUGAAAUUGAAGAAUGUGAGUUGUCUUAACACUGAAUGCUACAACACUAUGUUGUAUCUAGCAGGGGGAGCUAAGGAGUUUGAACUGGUUGAGAAGCUGCUGGGGGAAAUGGAUGCAAAUAAUUGUGAGAAAGAUAUUAAGACUUGGACAAUCGUAUUUAUGCAUUAUGGAAAGGCAAAGAUGGUUGGGAAGGCUUUGUUGAUUUUUGAAAAAAUGAAGAGAUUCGGGUUUAAACCCGAUGAAGAUGCAUAUAGAUGGUUAAUUCGUGUACUUUGUCAAUGUAGGCAAGGUGAAAUUGCAUUAGAGUUUUACAAGGAGAUGGUCCAAAAGGGUUUUGUUGUAGAUAAUAGAAUGUAUACUAUGUUACUCAAUUGCCUUGCUGAUUGUGGAGAUGUAGAUGGAGUUUACAUGGUCGCAAAUGACAUGAUUAAUCUAUCCCAAAUCCCCGAAUGCAAUGUAUAUCCAUGUGUUUUAAGGAGCUUUUGUAUGUCACAACGCAUCAAAGAAGCUUUCGAGUUGAUUCGUGAUCUUAAGACUAAGAAUUUUGCAUUUAGUUUCGAGUACUUUGAAAUCCUUGUGAAGGGGCUUUGUAAGGCUCGUAGGAUGGACGAUGCUCUAGAGAUUGUUGAAAUCAUGAAGAAAAAAACUUCUGUUAAUGAGGUCGUUUAUGGAGCUUUAAUAAAUGGAUACUUGAGAAUCAAUGAUCAUUCUCGGGCUUUGAAUCUGUUUAACGGCAUGAAGCAUGCUGGUAUUACACCUUUAACAUCAACUUACACAGAACUGAUGCAGUAUUUCUUUAACUCGAAUGAGUACGAGAAAGGCUGUGCUCUAUAUAGUGAGAUGUUAAUAAAGGGCAUUAAGCUGGACUCUGUUGCUUGCACAGCAUUGAUUGCAGGUUAUACACGAAACAACGCUAUUUCAGAUGCUUGGAAAGUAUUUGAUAAAAUGGAGGAGGAAGGAAUUAGAGCCACACAAAAAUGUUACUUGAUUUUCAUCAAAGAACUCUGUAGGAGCUCAAAGACCGAUGAUAUGAUCAAAGUAUUGUAUCGAAUGCGAGAUAAUAAGAUUAAUAUCGGGAAAGAAGUUUACCGUUGUGUUAGUUCUUAUUUGAAGGGGAACAAGGAAACCACAAAACUGGAAGAGGUGAAGAAGAUACUAGGAAGUUGUCAGCAUUACUGUGAAGUAGUUGAAGUAUUUGAAGAUGAAUCUUCGGAGAGGGAGAUACAUAAUAUCGAGUCAAACAAUGUUGACCCUAAUGCAGAGUAUGUUUUGCCGGAGCCUGUACCACAAGCUUUCGGUGAUGAAGAUUUGCGCAAAAUCUGUGCAAUUUUGUCAUCGCGUAAAGAUUGGUUUAGUACGCAAAAAGCUUUGGAGGACUUAAAAAUUUUGCAUACACCAGAUCUUGUGACUGAGAUCUUAAACAUUUGCAGUCAAUAUGGUCAUGUCGCCCUUCGUUUUUUCUCAUGGGUGGGCAAUCAACCGGGUUAUAGACACUCAACAAAUUCCUACAACAUGGCAAUCAAAGUAGCCGGUAAAGGGAAAGAUUUUAAGCACAUGAGAAAUAUUUUUUAUGAAAUGCAAAGAAAUGGGAACUUGGCAACACCUGAUACAUACACAAUCAUGAUAAUGUUGUAUGGUCGAGUGGGCUUGACUGAUACGGCAAUAAAAACCUUCAAUGAAAUGAAAGCUAGUGGCAUAAAACCAACAGCAAGUACGUACAAGUUCUUGAUCUUGUCCCUAUGUGGGAGAAAGGGUAGGAAAUUGGAUGAAGGCAUCAAAUUGUUCAAAGAGAUGAUUGGUGCAGGAUUGGUUCCCGAUAAAGAAUUGGUUGAAGUAUUCUUUGAUUGCUUAUGCCAAAUGGGUAAACUGGCAGAUGCAAAGAAUUGCUUGCAAUAUCUAAGAAAAGCUGGUUUCACCACACCUCUGAGUUAUUCCUUGCUUAUUAGGGCUCUUUUUAGGAAGGGCAAAGUGGAGGAAGCUUUAGAUUUAGCAAAUGACGUUGAAGAAGACCGCUCUACACUUGAUCGUUACAUCUAUGGAAGCCUCGUUCAUGGUCUCUUACAAUACGGGCAGUUAGACAAGGCAUUAGCCAAAAUAGAUUCUAUGAAACAGGCAGGUGUUCAUCCAACGGUUCAUGUUUAUACAGCGUUAAUUACACAUUUCUGUAAGGAAAAGCAGAUGGAUAAAGCAUUGGAUUUCUUAAGGAUAAUGUGGCAAGAAGGCUGUCAUCCUACUAUUGUCACAUAUACAGCAUUGCUACGUGGCUACAUCAACAUACAAAAGUUUGAAGAUGCUCGGAAAUUGUUUCUUCGUAUGAGGCUAAAAGGACCACUUCCAGACUUCAAGGCUUACUCGAUGCUGAUAUCGUGUUUAUGUGAGAUUGGAAAAUCUGAAGAAGCAAUGCAAUUGUUAUUUGAAAUGUUGGAUGACUGUAUUGUACCUAGCGCUGUUAAUUUUCGAACUGUUUUCUUUGGAUUGAAUAGAGAAGGCAAACAACAUUUAGCUCAGAGAGUUGUGCAGCUAAAACACACUGUUGUUAAUAAACGGAAGUUCUCAGUGCCUUGAAGAUAAGGUUUUGUUUUCCUACAGUUAAACCUUGUCGAUAUUUGCCUUUUGGCAUUAGACUCCUAAAUAGAUUCUGUAAAUGGUCUUUUACAUGGAUGUCAUUAACCUUAAUUCUGAUUUAUGAUGAAGGAGCUAUUAAGGAGCUUUUUAUUUGUUUAAAGGUGAGGUUAUAUGUUGUGCCUAUGAAACUUAAACUAUAACAUUGCAUUGACCCAAUGUUAUUAGGUGACUCCCACCUUGGUUCCCACUAAGACGGGGUUCAGGGUUGGAUGUACGCAGUCUUUCCCUUCGAUAACAAAGAGUUUGUUUCCGAUUGAUUCUUGACAAUAAACAUAUGCAAUGCAAGGUGAUUUAAGUUUGAACUUGUUGAUCUUUGAUUUUGCUUUAAUGCUGCAUUUGGUACUGGUGACAGGAAAAUGUUGGGGCAGCACUUGGUUGUUUAAGAAUUCGACCUUAAUCUUGUACUUCAGAAAAGGAUCUUAGCAGGUUCCGAAAUUUGAGGGGACUGCAUUUUUGCACCAUUGGUUACAAUUGUAAGAUGCAAAGCAAAAUUUGGAUGAACUUGCUGCUAUUCUUACCUGAGAGGAGCUAGGUCGAGGGCAAUUUGGGGUGACACAUCUGGUUACUCAUAGACAAUCGGGGGAGCAAUUUGCUUGCAAGACUAUUGCAAAGAGGAAGCUGGUGAAUAAGGAGGAUAUUGAGGAUGUUCGGAGAGAGGUUCAGA
Molecule: RNA transcript, 3923 nt
Organism: Amaranthus tricolor (Joseph's coat)
Lineage: Eukaryota; Viridiplantae; Streptophyta; Magnoliopsida; Caryophyllales; Amaranthaceae
Gene name: calcium-dependent protein kinase 17
Exons: 3
Source: RefSeq, a predicted model, not a curated record